CGGUGAAAAUGAAGAAGGUUAGUGAGUUUGGGGGUUAAAAAGCAAGUCUAUAGGGUCGGGUCGGUUUAGGCGGGUCGGGUUGGGUCGGACUGGGGGUAAAAAUUCAUUUGGGUCACUUAUAUUUAAUGUCCAAUCGCUAAAUGACAUGUGGAAUUAGAAAUAAUAUAAAAAUUAAAAAAACAGCCGUUAGAUUCCAGGGGUACAAAUAGGCCAAAAAGAAAACGGUGGGGGCAUUUUCUUCGCCAAAGGUAAACGGAGGGCAUUUUUGUUCCAAAGUCGAUAGGAUGAGGGCAUUUUU
RNAcentral lists this long non-coding RNA (298 nucleotides) under Nicotiana benthamiana. RNAcentral describes it as "long non-coding RNA (NBEN_LNC040362)". Lineage: Eukaryota; Viridiplantae; Streptophyta; Magnoliopsida; Solanales; Solanaceae. The record is from RNAcentral.